GCGCUUGCUUCAGUAGCACAUAUACUGAAAUUAGAAUGAUACAGAGAAGAUUAGUAUGGCCUGUGUGAGAAUGACUCGCAAAUUCGUGAAGCGUUUCAUUUUUGC
Molecule: small nuclear RNA, 105 nt
Filed under: Castor canadensis (American beaver)
Lineage: Eukaryota; Metazoa; Chordata; Mammalia; Rodentia; Castoridae
Source: RNAcentral